Molecule: ribosomal RNA, 260 nt
Filed under: uncultured Leptotrichia sp.
Lineage: Bacteria; Fusobacteriati; Fusobacteriota; Fusobacteriia; Fusobacteriales; Leptotrichiaceae
Description: partial 16S ribosomal RNA
Rfam family: Bacterial small subunit ribosomal RNA
Source: RNAcentral
UGGCGGACGGGUGAGUAACGCGUAAAGAACUUGCCCUUUAGACUGGGAUAACAGAGGGAAACUUCUGAUAAUACUGGAUAAGUUAGUAUAUCGCAUGAUAUGCAAAUGAAAGCUACGGCACUAAAGGAGAGCUUUGCGUCCUAUUAGCUAGUUGGUAAGGUAAGAGCUUACCAAGGCGAUGAUAGGUAGCCGGCCUGAGAGGGUGGACGGCCACAAGGGGACUGAGAUACGGCCCAAACUCCUACGGGAGGGCAGCAGCC